Molecule: ribosomal RNA, 174 nt
Filed under: uncultured bacterium
Lineage: Bacteria
Description: partial 16S ribosomal RNA
Rfam family: Bacterial small subunit ribosomal RNA
Source: RNAcentral
CCUACGGGAGGCAGCAGUGGGGAAUAUUGCACAAUGGGCGGAAGCCUGAUGCAGCGACGCCGCGUGAGGGAUGACGGCCUUCGGGUUGUAAACCUCUUUCAGCAGGGACGAAGCGUGAGUGACGGUACCUGCAGAAGAAGCGCCGGCCAACUACGUGCCAGCAGCCGCGGUAAU